CCCAGACUCCUACGGGAGGCAGCAGUGGGGAAUAUUGCACAAUGGGGGAAACCCUGAUGCAGCGACGCCGCGUGAGUGAAGAAGUAUCUCGGUACGUAAAGCUCUAUCAGCAGGGAAGAAAAUGACGGUACCUGAAGAAGAAGCCCCGGCUAACUACGUGCCAGCAGCCGCGGUAAUACGUAGGGGGCAAGCGUUAUCCGGAUUUACUGGGUGUAAAGGGGGCGCAGACGGCGAUGCAAGCCAGGAGUGAAAGCCCGGGGCCCAACCCCGGGACUGCUCUUGGAACUGCGUGGCUGGAGUGCAGGAGGGGCAGGCGGAAUUCCUGGUGUAGCGGUGAAAUGCGUAGAUAUCAGGAGGAACACCGGUGGCGAAGGCGGCCUGCUGGACUGCAACUGACGUUGAGGUCCGAAAGCGUGGGGAGCAAACAGGAUUAGAUACCCCCGUACUG
This 448-nucleotide ribosomal RNA is filed under the name uncultured bacterium. Its description in RNAcentral is "bacterial SSU rRNA". It matches the Rfam family "Bacterial small subunit ribosomal RNA", at positions 330 to 793 of the family's 1533-position model. The record is from RNAcentral.